AUCCAAAUCUAGCAUUUCACCUAACGAGUUCGCAUCAACAUUCAUUCAGAAUCCAAAAACUAGGAUCUACAGCCCAGAAAGGCGAUCAUAAAUCCACAUAUAGCCAGACAAGAACUGCAAAGGCAAAUGAGCACAGGCACAUUACUUCAAAGUUGACUUAUUCAUACUUAACGGUACAGAUGUACCUGCAACUGUUUGCACCAAACCACAGGACUCGAUGGUCCAUUAAAGCAGCAGACACAGUACGACUUCACACAAACGAGACAUCACUUGAACAAAGGCGACACAGGGUACAGCAGCAGCAGCAGCAGGUCAAACGAUAGGGCAAUUACUGACCACCACGGAGGCGGAGCACCAGGUGAAGGGUGGACUCCUUCUGGAUGUUGUAGUCGGCUAGGGUGCGACCAUCCUCCAGCUGCUUGCCAGCGAAGAUAAGGCGCUGCUGGUCCGGGGGAAUGCCCUCCUUGUCCUGGAUCUUA
This 479-nucleotide long non-coding RNA is filed under the name Triticum aestivum (bread wheat). Its description in RNAcentral is "long non-coding RNA (TAES_LNC011574)". Lineage: Eukaryota; Viridiplantae; Streptophyta; Magnoliopsida; Poales; Poaceae. The record is from RNAcentral.